GACGAACGCUGGCGGCGUGCUUAACACAUGCAAGUCGAACGCUGAAGCCCUGGCUUUUGUUGGGUUGGAUGAGUGGCGAACGGGUGAGUAACACGUGAGUAACCUGCCCUCUUCUUUGGGAUAACGCCCGGAAACGGGUGCUAAUACUGGAUAUUCACUGAUCUUCGCAUGGGGGUUGGUGGAAAGGUUUGUUCUGGUGGGGGAUGGGCUCGCGGCCUAUCAGCUUGUUGGUGGGGUGAUGGCCUACCAAGGCUUUGACGGGUAGCCGGCCUGAGAGGGUGACCGGUGACAUUGGGACUGAGAUACGGCCCAGACUCCUGCGGGAGGCAGCAGUGGGGAAUAUUGCACAAUGGGCGAAAGCCUGAUGCAGCGACGCCGCGUGAGGGAUGGAGGCCUUCGGGUUGUAAACCUCUUUCGCUCAUGGUCAAGCCGCAACUGUGGGUUGUGGUGAGGGUAGUGGGUAAAGAAGCGCCGGCUAACUACGUG
This 486-nucleotide ribosomal RNA is filed under the name uncultured bacterium. Its description in RNAcentral is "partial 16S ribosomal RNA". It matches the Rfam family "Bacterial small subunit ribosomal RNA", at positions 28 to 507 of the family's 1533-position model. The record is from RNAcentral.